This is a long non-coding RNA of Asparagus officinalis (garden asparagus), 297 nucleotides long. RefSeq lists it as uncharacterized. NCBI's taxonomy places the organism in Eukaryota, Viridiplantae, Streptophyta, Magnoliopsida, Asparagales, Asparagaceae. The record is from RefSeq and is a predicted model, not a curated record. The transcript is spliced from 2 exons.
GGGAGGGAUCUGCCAAUGACUCACGCGUCCUGAAGGAUGCAAUGAGUAGAAGUGCAUGUAGUCUUCCACUUCCAAAUGGUAAAUUUUAUCUAGUUGAUUGUGGUUACCCAAAUAGGCUACAAUUUUUGGCUCCCUAUCGGGGUACGAGGUACCACCUUAAAGAGUUUGGCCCAGCUAACAACCGUCAGCGACCACGCAAUGCUCAUGAGCUAUUCAACCAUCGACAUUCAUCACUUAGAAAUUGUAUUGAACGUAUUUUUGGCAUUUUUAAGUCUAGGUUUACAAUUUUUAAGUCUC